This 472-nucleotide ribosomal RNA is filed under the name uncultured organism. RNAcentral describes it as "partial 16S ribosomal RNA". It matches the Rfam family "Bacterial small subunit ribosomal RNA", at positions 335 to 798 of the family's 1533-position model. The record is from RNAcentral.
ACUCCUACGGGAGGCAGCAGUGGGGAAUUUUGGACAAUGGGCGAAAGCCUGAUCCAGCAAUGCCGCGUGUGUGAAGAAGGCCUUCGGGUUGUAAAGCACUUUUGUCCGGAAAGAAAUCCUUGGCUCUAAUACAGUCGGGGGAUGACGGUACCGGAAGAAUAAGCACCGGCUAACUACGUGCCAGCAGCCGCGGUAAUACGUAGGGUGCGAGCGUUAAUCGGAAUUACUGGGCGUAAAGCGUGCGCAGGCGGUUUGCUAAGACCGAUGUGAAAUCCCCGGGCUCAACCUGGGAACUGCAUUGGUGACUGGCAGGCUAGAGUAUGGCAGAGGGGGGUAGAAUUCCACGUGUAGCAGUGAAAUGCGUAGAGAUGUGGAGGAAUACCGAUGGCGAAGGCAGCCCCCUGGGCCAAUACUGACGCUCAUGCACGAAAGCGUGGGGAGCAAACAGGAUUAGAUACCCUUGUAGUCCCAU